Molecule: non-coding RNA, 75 nt
Organism: Seriola dumerili (greater amberjack)
Lineage: Eukaryota; Metazoa; Chordata; Actinopteri; Carangiformes; Carangidae
Source: the annotation of a RefSeq genome assembly
UCCUGGGUAGCUCAGUCGGUAGAGCAUCAGACUUUUAAUCUGAGGGUCCAGGGUUCAAUUCCCUGAGGCGAGGUA